This 385-nucleotide RNase P RNA is filed under the name Candidatus Scalindua sp. RNAcentral describes it as "RNase P RNA component class A". It matches the Rfam family "Bacterial RNase P class A". From Rfam's summary of the family: Ribonuclease P (RNase P) is a ubiquitous endoribonuclease, found in archaea, bacteria and eukarya as well as chloroplasts and mitochondria. The record is from RNAcentral. Lineage: Bacteria; Pseudomonadati; Planctomycetota; Candidatus Brocadiia; Candidatus Brocadiales; Candidatus Scalinduaceae.
GAAGCAGGCAGGAUGGCCGCUUCAGAAAUUAUUCACAUGUAUAAUCUUUGAAGAGGAAAGUCCGAGCUCCAUAGGAUACAGUGCUCUGUAACGCAGAGUGGGAGUGAUCCCAAGGAAAGUGCCACAGAAAAUAUACCGCCUUACGAGAUUAUCUCGCAAGGUAAGGGGGAAAAGGUGGGGCCAGAAAUAGUGGCUUAAUGUAAGAGCCCACCGCUCUCUAAGUGAUUAGAGGGGCAUGGUAAACCCCACUGGGAGAAAGGCUAAAUAGAGAGGAAUAGAGUGAUCCGCUUUCAACCUCCGGGUAAGCCGCUUGAUUCCGAUGGUAACAUCGGAACUAGAUUAAUGGUCAUCAAAAACAGAACUCGGCUUAUGGCCUGCUUCAAUU